GAUGAACGCUGGCGGCGUGCCUAAUACAUGCAAGUCGAGCGAACGGACGAGAAGCUUGCUUCUCUGAUGUUAGCGGCGGACGGGUGAGUAACACGUGGAUAACCUACCUAUAAGACUGGGAUAACUUCGGGAAACCGGAGCUAAUACCGGAUGAUAUUUUGAACCGCAUGGUUCAAAAGUGAAAGACGGUCUUGCUGUCACUUAUAGAUGGAUCCGCGCUGCAUUAGCUAGUUGGUAAGGUAACGGCUUACCAAGGCAACGAUGCAUAGCCGACCUGAGAGGGGGACCGGCCACACUGGAACUGGGACCCGGCCCAGACCCCUACGGGGGGCAGGAGGAGGGAAUCUUCCGCAAGGGGCGAAAGCCUGACGGGGCAACGCCGGGUGAGUUAGGAAGGUUUUCGGAUCGUAAAACUCUUUUAUUGGGGAAGAAAAUAUGUGUAAGUAACUGGGCACCUUUUGACGGUACCUAAGCAAAAAGCCACGGCUAACUACGG
This 496-nucleotide ribosomal RNA is filed under the name uncultured bacterium. Its description in RNAcentral is "partial 16S ribosomal RNA". It matches the Rfam family "Bacterial small subunit ribosomal RNA", at positions 28 to 506 of the family's 1533-position model. The record is from RNAcentral.